RNAcentral lists this small nuclear RNA (105 nucleotides) under Amborella trichopoda. Lineage: Eukaryota; Viridiplantae; Streptophyta; Magnoliopsida; Amborellales; Amborellaceae. The record is from RNAcentral.
UAAAACGCUCACUUCAGCCCGAUAAAAUUGAAACGGUGCAGAAAAGAUUAGCAUGGCUCCUGUCCUAGGAUGACAUGCUCAAAUCGAGAAAUGGUCCAAGAAUUU